GGGCUGGCUUUAACUCAGCAGUUCCUUCGACAGAGCAAUUUCUGCCAUACCACCUUUUGAGGGUGGUUCCAGACGUGGGGGUUGCUUUCUGGCCCUUUU
RNAcentral lists this vault RNA (99 nucleotides) under Carlito syrichta (Philippine tarsier). RNAcentral describes it as "Vault RNA (ENSTSYG00000023925.2)". It matches the Rfam family "Vault RNA". From Rfam's summary of the family: This family of RNAs are found as part of the enigmatic vault ribonucleoprotein complex. The complex consists of a major vault protein (MVP), two minor vault proteins (VPARP and TEP1), and several small untranslated RNA molecules. Lineage: Eukaryota; Metazoa; Chordata; Mammalia; Primates; Tarsiidae. The record is from Rfam by way of RNAcentral.